Molecule: ribosomal RNA, 250 nt
Filed under: uncultured bacterium
Lineage: Bacteria
Description: partial 16S ribosomal RNA
Rfam family: Bacterial small subunit ribosomal RNA
Source: RNAcentral
ACGGAGGGUGCAAGCGUUAAUCGGAAUUACUGGGCGUAAAGCGCACGCAGGCGGUUGAUUAAGUCAGAUGUGAAAUCCCCGGGCUCAACCUGGGAACUGCAUUUGAAACUGGCAAGCUAGAGUCUCGUAGAGGGGGGUAGAAUUCCAGGGGUAGCGGUGAAAUGCGUAGAGAUCUGGAGGAAUACCGGUGGGGAAGGCGGCCCCUGGACGAAGACUGACGCUCAGGUGCGAAAGCGUGGGGAGCAAACAG